RNAcentral lists this ribosomal RNA (301 nucleotides) under uncultured bacterium. RNAcentral describes it as "partial 16S ribosomal RNA". It matches the Rfam family "Bacterial small subunit ribosomal RNA", at positions 509 to 807 of the family's 1533-position model. The record is from RNAcentral.
CAGCCGCCGCGGGAAUACAGAGGGUGCAAGCGUUAAUCGGAAUUAUUGGGCGUAAAGGGUGCGUAGGCGGUCAUUUAAGUCAGAUGUGAAAUCCCAGGGCUUAACCUUGGAAUUGCAUUUGAUACUGGGUGGCUAGAGUACAGAAGAGGGAAGUGGAAUUUCCGGUGUAGCGGUGAAAUGCGUAGAUAUCGGAAGGAACAUCAGUGGCGAAGGCGACUUCCUGGUCUGUAACUGACACUGAGGCACGAAAGCGUGGGGAGCAAACAGGAUUAGAUACCCGCGUAGUCCCUGUCUCUUAUAC